AAGACUAUACUCUCAAGCAUCAUUUCUACAGUUUGUUACUAGAGAAGUGUCCUAAACAGGUAGAGCGCUGGAAACGGUGAGGAAGAGAGGCAGUGUUCUCUCCUGAGAGUGAAACUGGCUCUUCAUGUUGCUUCUGCAACUAUUUUGUCACUGAUGAUCUUUCUUUUCUUCCUUUGUGAGAGGGAGGAGAGAGUGGCUUUGUGAG
Canis lupus familiaris (dog) is the source of this 205-nucleotide non-coding RNA. Lineage: Eukaryota; Metazoa; Chordata; Mammalia; Carnivora; Canidae. The record is from Rfam.